RNAcentral lists this ribosomal RNA (688 nucleotides) under uncultured crenarchaeote. RNAcentral describes it as "bacterial SSU rRNA". It matches the Rfam family "Archaeal small subunit ribosomal RNA", at positions 657 to 1347 of the family's 1478-position model. The record is from RNAcentral. Lineage: Archaea; Thermoproteati; Thermoproteota.
CCCUCUCGGAGAAUGAGCUGAGAGAACGGACCGACGGUGAGGGACGAAAGCUAGGGGAGCAAAGGGGAUUAGAUACCCCCGUAGUCCUAGCUGUAAACGAUGCGGGCUAGGUGUUGGGUUGGCUUCGUGCCAACCCAGUGCCGCAGCGAAGGCGAUAAGCCCGCCGCCUGGGAAGUACGGCCGCAAGGCUGAAACUUAAAGGAAUUGGCGGGGGAGCACCACAAGGGGUGAAGCCUGCGGUUUAAUUGGAGUCAACGCCGGGAAUCUUACCGGGAGCGACAGCAGGAUGAAGGCCAAGCUGACGACUUUGCCAGACAGGCUGAGAGGAGGUGCAUGGCCGUCGCCAGUUCGUGCCGUGAGGUGUCCGGUUAAGUCCGGCAACGAACGAGACCCCCACCCUAUGUUGCUAGGUCCUCUCUACGGAGGGGACCGCACACGUAGGGGACCGCCAGUGUUAAACUGGAGGAAGGAGGGGGCUACGGCAGGUCAGCAUGCCCCGAAUCUCCCGGGCCACACGCGGGCUGCAAUGGCGAGGACAGCGGGUUCCGACCCCGAGAGGGGAAGGCAAUCCCUUAAACCUCGCCGUAGUUGGGAUUGAGGGCUGUAACCCGCCCUCAUGAACAUGGAAUCCCUAGUAACCGCGUGUCACCAUCACGCGGUGAAUACGUUCCUGCUCCUUGUACACACC